AAUGGGCAAACCUGUCGAAAGGCAGGGGCGCAAAGCCAAGGUGUCUGCAGCGUCAUCGGACGUAUGAUUGACCGGCCG
RNAcentral lists this non-coding RNA (78 nucleotides) under uncultured Ruminococcus sp. RNAcentral's name for it is "Cyclic di-GMP-I riboswitch". It matches the Rfam family "c-di-GMP-I riboswitch aptamer", at positions 7 to 82 of the family's 87-position model. From Rfam's summary of the family: GEMM was predicted in a large-scale screen for bacterial structured RNA regulatory elements. Genes associated with GEMM are involved in a diverse array of functions, including chemotaxis regulation, signal transduction, secretion and chitin. Lineage: Bacteria; Bacillati; Bacillota; Clostridia; Eubacteriales; Oscillospiraceae. The record is from RNAcentral.